UAUUGGUCAAUGGGCGCGAGCCUGAACCAGCCAAGUCGCGUGAGGGAAGACGGUCCUAUGGGUUGUAAACCUCUUUUGUCGGGGAGCAAAAGACGCCACGCGUGGCGUUCCGAGAGUACCCGAAGAAAAAGCAUCGGCUAACUCCGUCCCAGCAGCCGCGGUAAUACGGAGGAUGCGAGCGUUAUCCGGAUUUAUUGGGUUUAAAGGGUGCGCAGGCGGAAGAUCAAGUCAGCGGUAAAAUUGAGAGGCUCAACCUCUUCGAGCCGUUGAAACUGAUUUUCUUGAGUGAGCGAGAAGUAUGCGGAAUGCGUGGUGUAGCGGUGAAAUGCAUAGAUAUCACGCAGAACUCCGAUUGCGAAGGCAGCAUACCGGCGCUCAACUGACGCUCAUGCACGAAAGUGUGGGUAUCGAACAGG
RNAcentral lists this ribosomal RNA (416 nucleotides) under uncultured bacterium. RNAcentral describes it as "bacterial SSU rRNA". It matches the Rfam family "Bacterial small subunit ribosomal RNA", at positions 362 to 776 of the family's 1533-position model. The record is from RNAcentral.